GAUGAACGCUGGCGGCGUGCCUAAUACAUGCCAGUCGAGCGAACAGAUUAGGAGCUUGCUCCUCUGACGUUAGCGGCGGACGGGUGAGUAACACGUGGAUAACCUACCUAUUAGACUGGGAUAACUUCGGGAAACCGUAGCUAAUACCGGAUAAUAUAUUGAACCGCCUGGUUCAAUUGUUAAAGUCGGUUUUGCUGUCACUUAUAGAUAGAUCCGCGCCGCAUUUGCUAGUUGGUAAGGUAACCGCUUCCCAAGGCAACGAUGCCUAGCCGACCUCUUAGGGUCAUCUGCCACCAUGGAUCCGAGACACGUUCCCUACUCCUACGCGAGGCAGCAGUAUCGAAUCUUCCGCAAUGGGCGGAAGCCUGACGGAGCAACGCCGCGUGAGUCAUGAAGGUCUUAUGUUCGUAAUACUCUGUUAUCCGGGAAGAACAAAUGUGUAAGUAACUAUGCACGUCUUGACGGUACCUAAUCAGAAAGGCACGGCUAACUACGUG
This 497-nucleotide ribosomal RNA is filed under the name uncultured bacterium. Its description in RNAcentral is "partial 16S ribosomal RNA". It matches the Rfam family "Bacterial small subunit ribosomal RNA", at positions 28 to 507 of the family's 1533-position model. The record is from RNAcentral.